RNAcentral lists this ribosomal RNA (108 nucleotides) under Microcebus murinus (gray mouse lemur). Lineage: Eukaryota; Metazoa; Chordata; Mammalia; Primates; Cheirogaleidae. The record is from RNAcentral.
CAUACCACCUUGAACGCGCCCGAUCUCAUCUGAUCUCGGAAGCUAAGCAGGGUCGGGCCUGGUGAGUACUUGGAGGGAGGGAAAAAAAUCACUACUUGAACUCUGGUU